AGUUCAGUUGGUAGAACACCGGACUGUUAAUCCGUAUGUCGCUGGUUCGAGUCCAGCC
This 58-nucleotide transfer RNA is filed under the name Gammaproteobacteria bacterium. RNAcentral describes it as "tRNA-Asn". It matches the Rfam family "tRNA", at positions 9 to 63 of the family's 71-position model. Rfam says of the family: Transfer RNA (tRNA) molecules are approximately 80 nucleotides in length. Their secondary structure includes four short double-helical elements and three loops (D, anti-codon, and T loops). Further hydrogen bonds mediate the characteristic L-shaped molecular structure. tRNAs have two regions of fundamental functional importance: the anti-codon, which is responsible for specific mRNA codon recognition, and the 3' end, to which the tRNAs corresponding amino acid is attached (by aminoacyl-tRNA synthetases). tRNAs cope with the degeneracy of the genetic code in two manners: having more than one tRNA (with a specific anti-codon) for a particular amino acid; and 'wobble' base-pairing, i.e. permitting non-standard base-pairing at the 3rd anti-codon position. The record is from RNAcentral. Lineage: Bacteria; Pseudomonadati; Pseudomonadota; Gammaproteobacteria. RNAcentral also lists the same sequence under 1 other name.